AUUGAACGCUGGCGGCAGGCCUGACACAUGCAAGUCGAGCGGAUGAAGGGAGCUUGCUCCUGGAUUCAGCGGCGGACGGGUGAGUAAUGCCUAGGAAUCUGCCUGGUAGUGGGGGAUAACGUCCGGAAACGGGCGCUAAUACCGCAUACGUCCUGAGGGAGAAAGUGGGGGAUCUUCGGACCUCACGCUAUCAGAUGAGCCUAGGUCGGAUUAGCUAGUUGGUGGGGUAAAGGCCUACCAAGGCGACGAUCCGUAACUGGUCUGAGAGGAUGAUCAGUCACACUGGAACUGAGACACGGUCCAGACACUUACGGGAGGCAGCAGUGGGGACUAUUGGACGAUGGGCGAAAGCCUGAUCCAGCCAUGCCGGGUGGUGGAAGAAGGUCUUCGUAUUGAAAAGCACUUUAAGUUUGGAGGAAGGGAAGUAAGUUAAUACCUUGCUGUUUUGACGUUACCCACAGAAUAAGCUCCGGCUAACUUCGUG
RNAcentral lists this ribosomal RNA (484 nucleotides) under uncultured bacterium. RNAcentral's name for it is "partial 16S ribosomal RNA". It matches the Rfam family "Bacterial small subunit ribosomal RNA", at positions 30 to 507 of the family's 1533-position model. The record is from RNAcentral.